Molecule: long non-coding RNA, 3120 nt
Organism: Oreochromis aureus
Lineage: Eukaryota; Metazoa; Chordata; Actinopteri; Cichliformes; Cichlidae
Exons: 2
Source: RefSeq, a predicted model, not a curated record
CCGCAGGGUGGAUUUAGUGUGGGACUGGUGAAUGGCGACCUACCGAGCAACGGAACUGUGCUCCUGGGGAAUCCCCAUCUGUUGGGCUUCCUGAUCAAGGUGCCUCUACUCAAGUCAGGAGACAGGUGAACUGCUGGAAACCCGUCAUGCUGAGAGACCUUCUGUCUGGGACUGACAAGAUCACAACUGUGUAAUUGUUGUGAUGAGUCUUUGUCAAAUCAGCCACAGAGACAAAAAAUGUAACACAUAUUUAUUUACAAGUUGUUUUUCUGCCUAAACCUAACCUGCAUUUAACAUACAUCAGAAUAUUAUAAAGGGAUAAUCAUGUUCAGCAGUGACAGUUAUCAUGUGCUGCUUCCAUCUCUUAUGGGUAUUUAUUAAAAGGUAGUGACAAACUUCCUGUAUGGUUGUUUCGGUUGGAGGACUUAAUUACAUAAUUACAUUUUUUUUAAUCUCAGGCUGAAAGUAAUACAGGUAACCCCUCAAAUGUGUAAACAAAACCAUGUUACUUCAAAGAAUUAAUUAUUAUAGCUAAAUGGCAGUAUCAGUGCUGUGGAAUACUUAUCCCUUCCCUGGAGACACUGCUCCGUCUUAUGGCUGUCCAAGUAGCAGCUCCACUCCACUGCUGCAGAAAAUGUUGACUUUUCUAUUUUAUCAGGCGGUAACCCUUGGGUGACCCAAAUUUAGUGCACUUGAGUGUUUUUGUACACGCAUUAUUAUGACUGAAUAUUAAUGAUUGAACAGCUGGAUGAAUGGAUGAGAGAAAGUCUCUGAUGAUUGAAAGAAAACACGAUGUUGGCAGAAGUAUUUCUCGGGUAAAAUCUUUCCCCAGACUAGUAAAUCAUAGUUCAAACAAGACGACAAGUCUGAAGCCCAGUUUACAGUAGAUUAACCACCCAACCUAAUUCUAGCACCAGUUUUACACAUUAAGAGGAUUGGAAGAAGAAAUCUUCUUGUUCUGUAUUAGCUCCGUGAUAGAAGGGGAUCAUUUGUGUGUUAGCGGGUUGUUGACAAAAUCUUCCUGUAAUAUUAGAUAAACACAGAUGAAACAUACUGCAUGUACAAGAUUAAAAAGUGGUUGUGCAUAAACACUAUUUGUUUGGCACAAGUUUCUCCUCUUUUCUUAAUACGCUGCAUCCGAAUAUGCUCUGGUGCUCCUCAGUCACAUCCCCAUCCAUCAAACGGCAGGAGAUUCUCCAGACAGGGUUCACUCUUUUACCCAUCUGUCAAUCAGUGCCCACAGGCAGACAGCCCAGGCUCCUCCUGCCAGACCACACAACACCUGCCACCUAAUUGCUUGGCCACAAAAGCCCAGCCUUCACCUGGAUUCUUGGCCCACAUGCCCUAACACUAUAGGGAACCCAGCAUCGAGCGUCUUACCCUGCUUGAUUUUUGGGACUGUGGAUCUCACUGUUCACUUAUAGGUCAAACACAUACUGCAAACACAAAGCGAGUGUAUUGUAUUCAUGAGCCGCGUUGUAACCAGUGAAGGGUUGCAUUAAAAUAAAUCAUUUUUCAUCUUUCAUUAGCUAAGCAUGAUGGAUUGGUGUGUGCUGUUUGUUAUAUUUUACCUCCUCUGGUGUUCAAACCAUAUGAAAAAGCCCAGUGGUAGGUGGGAACAAAUGGCUAACACGUAAAUCCUUAAGAAAGCUGAGAAAACUAAGAGCAGACUGCGGGAUACUGAAUCAUACUGAAUCUGAAAAAGUGUACCAGCUGUCUCAGCAGAGUUUCUACAUGAACUGUGAACCUGCAGGUACUUUCUUAAUAAAUAGCUCCUGGAUAACUCUGAAUGCUAAAUGGAGCACAGGAACUUUACAUUAAUUUCUCAUUAUGUCACUGGAAAUUAGUUUUCAUGAAAUAAAGAACCCAAAUGUAUUAGCCCCUGACUUUUUUGGCCCGUUGUUUGUUUUGUAACCUACAUUUUUGUCCUGACCCUAAACAUUCGUGUGAGUACAGUUUAGCCCGCAAUAAACCGCCUGGUACAUCACUUUAGGCAAACUUUGAAUAGCACAUAAUUAUAAUAAGAUGUUUCACCAAAAAAAACCUCAUAUAAUAUAGAAAAAUUAUGAUUAGGAUGUGAUGAGUAAGAUUUUAAUCUCCAGUUUCUAAAAUGUCACUUGCUCAGCAAUCCUUACCUUUGACAACAAUGUCUCAUCUUCCUCUCCUGCCGUGUCUUUCUUAUAUGUUUUUCCAUCACCCUGUGCCACAAAUGUAUGUUUUUUUUCUCUCUGCCAAUUAAAAAUCGUUGCUCCAUUUCACUCACCCGUCUGCUGUAGGGCUGCCUAGAAGCUGAAGUGCCAUGCUGGCAAUGUUAUAUCUGCACCUUGAGCAUGAGAAGGAAAAAUCCAUACGUUAAAAGUCAUGUGAUGUCAUUAUGUUCUUAUUACUGAGCGAGUGGAAGUACAUGAAAAAUUACAAGUAACGUCUUUGACAUUGUGUAUUAACCUGCCUAUCAUAUUUAAUUGCUCAUUAAUUGAAUAUGUCAGACCACCAUGCUGGCCCACUUUAACCUCUUGGUAAAUCCUACUGGAGUGAAGGUUGCAUCCUCUCUCCUAGCAUGUAGCAGGAGCCAGGGCAGCCAGAAGCAGAGAUGCACUGCAGCACACGGAACAAAAAGAAGCCGAGAAGUAACUAAGAAAAAAAAUCUGAGUGAAAAUAAGUCCUCUUUUUCUUGAAGUGUUCUGGAGUAAAAGCAUAAGUGACUGAGAGAUGGGGAAGCUGUCUGUCAGAGUGAAUUUACUGCUAAGGUAUGGCGUUGGCAUAUCUAUCUGAUAUCUAAGUGGGUAUCUUUCUCAUUGUCUGGUGCAAAUUGAAGAUGCUGAAUCACUACCGUGCUGUAUAUAUGUGUACAGCAUGUACAGCAAGGAGGAUAUAUUUUAUUGGUUCUAUAGGAGAAUUUAAAUGCUAGCUAAAGCUCUGUUUUGUUGUACAUAAAAGGCUAUUGUAGUACCAAGAUAUGUUCUGUAAAACUUGUGUUAAGUAUUUCACUAUAAGCAAAGUCAUGUCCAAGUGACGAGAUGACGUCAGAGAGGUGCGUGCCUGCGUGCACGAGAUUGUUAUCGUUUUCUCUUGUGAGCAUGCGCAAUAAACGGCCAGUGUGGUUCCCAGGCCAAAAUGGAA